This 394-nucleotide RNase P RNA is filed under the name Halococcoides cellulosivorans. RNAcentral describes it as "Archaeal RNase P". It matches the Rfam family "Archaeal RNase P". From Rfam's summary of the family: Ribonuclease P (RNase P) is a ubiquitous endoribonuclease, found in archaea, bacteria and eukarya as well as chloroplasts and mitochondria. The record is from Rfam by way of RNAcentral. Lineage: Archaea; Methanobacteriati; Methanobacteriota; Halobacteria; Halobacteriales; Haloarculaceae.
GGCAGCGGGAGUCCGGCUCCCGUGCCCUCAGGGCACGAGGAAAGUCCCCCCACCGUGCGGGCAGGCGACCGGGCCCACGCCCGGGACGGGCGACCGCCGGCACUCGAACAGAAACGAGACCGCGCGGCCCGACCAACGAGGUGUGCGACCCCCACGCGAUGAAGGUCUGCGGCCCGCCGUCGCAAGGCACGCGGGUCGAAGGCCGGUCAAGCACGGGGAAGACCCCACCGAGGGCCGACGGCCGCGAACGGAUGGAACGGCGACCCUCGCCGGUGCAAGUCCGCGCGACAGGUAGUCCGACACCACCGCCACACGGCGAGCACCCUCACGGGUGACGGCGCGGACGCUCAGCCGAAUGCCGGAUCGAACAGAAGGGGGCUUACUCCCCGCAGCC